CGGAUGGAGCGAUAUUGGUGAGGUUCAAUCCGAUGCUAGGUUUUACAAUCGUCGUAAGACCAGUAUCUGAUUGAGCCGUGCCAAUAUCUCUCCCUUGCUU
Molecule: non-coding RNA, 100 nt
Organism: Hordeum vulgare subsp. vulgare (domesticated barley)
Lineage: Eukaryota; Viridiplantae; Streptophyta; Magnoliopsida; Poales; Poaceae
Source: Rfam